This 468-nucleotide ribosomal RNA is filed under the name uncultured bacterium. RNAcentral describes it as "partial 16S ribosomal RNA". It matches the Rfam family "Bacterial small subunit ribosomal RNA", at positions 28 to 507 of the family's 1533-position model. The record is from RNAcentral.
GACGAACGCUGGCGGCGUGCUUAACACAUGCAAGUCGAACGGAAAGGCCCUGCUUUUGUUGGGUGCUCGAUUGGCGAACGUGUGAGUAACACGUGAGUAACCUGCCCUUUACUUUGGGAUAACUUCAGGAAACUGUGGCUAAUACCGGAUAGGUUCUCCUGCUUCAUGGUGGGGUUUGGAACGUUUCGGCGGUUGGGGAUGGACUCGCGGCUUAUCAGCUUUUUGGUGGGGUAGUGGCUUACCAAGGCUUUGACGGGUAGCCGGCCUGUGAGGGGGACCGGAGAAAAUGGGAAUGAGGAAAGGGCCAGAAUCCUAGGGGAGGGAGGAGUGGGGAAUAUUGAAAAAAGGGGGGAAGGCUGAAGAAGGAAAGGCGGGGGGGGGAAGAAGGCCUUCGGGUUGUAAACCGCUUUAGCAUGUGACGAAGCGUGAGUGACGGUAAUGGGUAAAGAAGCACCGGCUAACUACGUG